CCACAGAUCUAUAUUCAUAUAUUUAUAGGUGUGUUACAGCAGUGAGUCUAUAUUACAAGUUACCAUGCACUUGCACGUAUAAUAUAACUACUAUUUGAGCUAACUAACUAAUUUCACAACAACUUCUCAGCUAACUAAAGGCUUCUAUUCAAUACAACCCUUGCUCAAAUGAAGCUACCCCUUUUCAAUGGGAAACUUAGAUGUCAGAUACUCAAAUCUUGAAAUAGACACCGGCUUGGUGAAUAUAUCUACUACUUGAUCCUCUGUAGGCACAUAUUGAACGUCCAAUUCCUUUUUUAUCACUUUAUCUCGCACAUGUGUAUCAAUUUCAAUAUGUUUGGUCCUUGCAUGAAGAACCAAAUUGGCUGCAAUGGCAGCUGCACUCUUGUUACCACACCAGAUGAGAGACAAUUGAGAAAUAGAAAAACCAAGUUCUUGUAGCAAUGACUUGAUCCAAAUAAACUCAACUGCAGUAUCAACAAGAGCACUGUAUUCAGACUCAGUGGAGCUUCUUGAAACCACAUUCUACUUCUUGGAGCUCUAGGAUAACAGAUUGGAUCCAAGAAAUAUACAGAACAUCUCGGUGGACUUUCGAUCAUCCAAUGAACCAGCCCAAUAAGCAUUUGCAAAACCUUGGAGACAGAGAUAAGAUGACGAUUUGAAGAUGAGAUUCUGAUUGAUGGAGCCUUUAAGAUACCUCAAGAGCCAUUUGCAAGCCUUCCAAUGAAGUUCAGUUGGAGAUUGCAUGAGUUUACUAAGUUUAUUGACCAUAAACAAAAUAUCAGGUCUAGAUAAAGUGAGAUAUUGCAGUGCACCCACAACAUUUCUAUAGAGAGUAGGAUUAGAGAAGGGACUGCUAUCUUUUAGGAAAAGUUUGGAGCCACUAUCAUAAGGAGUAGGUUGUAGCUUACUAUCUGAGAGAUUAGUUCGAGCCAGUAAAUCUCUUAUAUAUUUGGACUGAUUGAGCAUAUAGGUAUAAGAUGGUGUGCGAAGUAACUUGAAUUCCCAUUUAGAAAUGCAUUGUUUAUGUCUAUGUGUUGUAUAUCCCAAUGAAAUGUAGAGGCUAGAGAGAACAUUAACCUCACAGAGACAAGUUUCACCACUGGACUGAAGGUCUCUGAGAAAUCCACACCUGCCCUUUGUUGAAAACCUUUAGCCACCAACCUUGAUUUAAGCCUAUCAAGAGAGCCAUCUGCAUUCUUUUUCACCCUGAAAACCCAUUUACACUGAAUAACAUUCAUAUAACCUCUGUACGGAACACGCUCCAAAGUAGAUUUGUCAAUAAUUGCUUUAAAUUCUUGUUCCAUGGCUUUAAGCCAAAUAGACUCUUUGAGCUAUAUUACAAACUACCAUGCACUUGCAUGUAUAAUAUAACUACUCUUUGAGCUAACUAACUAAUUUCAUAACAACUUCUCAGCCAACUAACGGCUUCUAUUCAAUGCCCUUUGCCCUAUAUAUAUAGGUUGAUAGAAAUUUACACAAAAUUUUUCAAAAAAUCAACGAAAAUAAAAAUAUACAAGUAAACUUCUUAAUAUGUCCAUAUUUAUUAUUGAAAAUAUGCAUUCAUGUAUCCAUAUUGAGCAAUGAAACUCAAUUUUCGGCCACCCAUCUAAAAAAUAUAAAUUAUGACCAUUUAUUAUAAUUUAGGUCUAAAAUACCCUUGACCCCGCGGAUCCUACUCUACCCAUCCCAUCCCAACCCGUAUACGUGAUUCUCUCUCUGUCUCUCUCCUCUUUCUUUUGGCACAAAUGGACAUAAUUGUGUCAAGUAUAUCUAAUGAAUGGUACAAUUGACACGAAUUUACCCAUUUGUACCAACUAUACCAUCAUUCAAUCUUCAGUCAGAUUUGGCACAAAUAGACAUAAUUGUGCCAAGUAUACUGUAUACCUAAUGAAUCCCACAAUUGACACGAAUUUGCCUAUUUGUACCAACUGUACCAUCAUAACCCCAACCUGAACCCGAAGCCCAACCUACGCACAAACCCGCAAUUAAGGGCAAACCAGUCAUAAAAUGUAAAAAAAUUACCAAUUUUUUUGUUUUUUAGAUAGGAAGCCAAAUAUUGAGUUUCAUUGCUCAAUAUGACUAUCUCAAAAGUUGACUCUUAUUAUUUAAUGAUGAAUUAAAGUUGGUGUAUAUUAAAGAAUUAAAUAGGGACAUAACAAUAAAUUUACUUAAAAAUACUACUACUUUUUUUUUUUAUGAAAACAAGUCUAUAUAUUUGGGACAUCGAAAAAGGAAAAUAAGCCUAUAUAAAUGGGACAGAGGGAGUAUAUUAUUUCACAUUUUCUCUCUCCUCUCUUUAUCAUACGUUUUCUCACUUCUAUUCUUCUAUACAAUUCUAUUCUUCUAUUCUCUUUUUCAUAUUUUUAUGAUUUUCUAAAAAUCUUUAAAUUUGAUUUACAGAAAGAUAUUCAAUAUGCAUCUUAAAUUAAAGAUAACUCUUGUGGUAUAAAUACUUGUGUGCUAUAACACUCAAAUUGGAUUCACAAUGAGAUACGUUCUAAAUGAUUGACAAUAUUUAGAUCGAAAUAUCAUAAAACAGUUAUAUUUCUUAUUUUAUACUCCUCCUGUCCACGAAAUAAGUACCUAUUUGCCUCUAAAUUUCUGUCCAUGAAUUAAGUACCUACUAUGCUUUAUGAACAUUUAUACCCUCACUUACUUUUUAAAUUUACUACCCUUUAACAAAUAGGCCCACCAUACUCUUACUUAACACCACUAAUUAAACUCUCUUAACUAUAUGGCCCACUUUAUUUGAUUAUCAGAUUGGAUCAAUUUCCUUUUUCGGCCCACUUUAGCUAAGGUUUUCACCACCUAUUCAUAUCACAAUUCCCCUAAUGAGGAAAUAAAAAUUUCUUUGCCGAAAACACUAAAUUCUCAAUCCCUUCUCUGCCAAUUCUGAAAUCUUCGAUCUUCUUCUUCGCCCAACCCUUAUCUGUCGAUGGAUGAUGCUCCUACGUCUCCUCCCAUUUAUUCAAGGGAUUGGGAGUACGAAUCGGUGGAAAUCGAGGGUGGAUCUGGGCUCCCCUCCAUGGAAGCAGUUGCCAUGUCGUAUGUGGCGUUCCUGGGGUGGGUGGCGCCGGAAUCAAAUCCAUGGUGGCGGAAACCAAAUCCAUGGUGCCAUCGACUGGAUUUGUUGAAGAGCGAUUGACUUGAUAUGUUGACCAAUCGGUUUCUGUGGCUGAAUCUCGAUGAUUGAAAGUCUCGGUGACUCACACUCCUCUAUUGAUGGCUCCAGCGUUUGGAUUUGUUCACGAAGCUGAUUUCUAUGACUUUUCACAGUAUGAAGUCGAAAAGUACACGAAGUAUGUGGGCCUUUCGGAGUCUACGAUGCCAGACAGUGGCUAUGACGUAUGGGUGGCUACCAGUGGCCACAUCCCUGAUGAAGAGCCAUCGCCGUUCGUGAGAAUGGAGUAUGAACCCUGUGCGCACCGUCGCCGUCUUCAAAUCCUAGGAAUUUAUUUUCCUACGCUGCUAGAUUUGAGCUAAUAAGGGUUCGAAUCCUGGAGGGAACAGAAUUUUUUAAAUUUUGUUAUUCAUCAGUAUAUAUGUCUUAUUCAUUACCAAUUUUUUAAAUUUUAUUUUUCAUCAGUAUAUACAUUUUGUUCGUUA
Molecule: long non-coding RNA, 3609 nt
Organism: Salvia miltiorrhiza (redroot sage)
Lineage: Eukaryota; Viridiplantae; Streptophyta; Magnoliopsida; Lamiales; Lamiaceae
Exons: 2
Source: RefSeq, a predicted model, not a curated record